UGGGGAAUUUUGGACAAUGGGCGAAAGCCUGAUCCAGCCAUGCCGCGUGAGUGAAGAAGGCCUUCGGGUUGUAAAGCUCUUUUAGUCGGAAAGAAAGAGUUGCAAUGAAUAAUUGUGAUUUAUGACGGUACCGACAGAAAAAGCACCGGCUGACUACGUGCCAGCAGCCGCGGUAAUACGUAGGGUGCGAGCGUUAAUCGGAAUUACGGGGCGUAAAGGGUGCGCAGGCGGUCUUGCAAGUCAGAUGUGAAAGCCCCGGGCUUAACCUGGGAAUUGCGUUUGAAACUACAAGGCUAGAGUGCAGCAGAGGGGAGUGGAAUUCCAUGUGUAGCAGUGAAAUGCGUAGAGAUGUGGAAGAACACCGAUGGCGAAGGCAGCUCCCUGGGUUGACACUGACGCUCAUGCACGAAAGCGUGGGGAGCAAACA
RNAcentral lists this ribosomal RNA (427 nucleotides) under uncultured beta proteobacterium. Its description in RNAcentral is "bacterial SSU rRNA". It matches the Rfam family "Bacterial small subunit ribosomal RNA", at positions 355 to 774 of the family's 1533-position model. The record is from RNAcentral. Lineage: Bacteria; Pseudomonadati; Pseudomonadota; Betaproteobacteria.